Molecule: long non-coding RNA, 452 nt
Filed under: Eucalyptus grandis
Lineage: Eukaryota; Viridiplantae; Streptophyta; Magnoliopsida; Myrtales; Myrtaceae
Description: long non-coding RNA (EGRA_LNC006536)
Source: RNAcentral
UUUUGAUGAUUUGGCCAAGGCAUUUACGCAAUCGUCUUCUGUCGCAGAAUCCCAUCUCACGGGUGGACGAUGAGCCUCAUGGUUUGGUUUCUAAUUUAGUUCCAUCCCCUGUACUUGGGGAAACAUCCGUAUGUCCAGUAGCAUCUUUCUUCUCUUGUAGAAAUAGAUUAGAUGUAAGAUAAGAUCAUGUUCAGAUCUAGAAUUCGUAGGCUCCAUGGGUCAUUCUGGCCCUAGUUCGUGUAAGUAUCAAUAAAAUACAAUUGGAAAGAUCUUUGAGUGAAGUUUCACUCUUUAGUUGAAGGUUUUGGCUAAAUUUGGCCACAAAUUUGUGAAAAUUUGUCGACACAACACCAACUCGGACUCGCAGCGAAAUAACGCGUGAACACUUCGUCGACGCAAGUCCCCACUUCGCAUUCCACCCCUGUAUAUAACCCUAGCCGAGUCCAUACUCA